Molecule: ribosomal RNA, 247 nt
Filed under: uncultured bacterium
Lineage: Bacteria
Description: partial 16S ribosomal RNA
Rfam family: Bacterial small subunit ribosomal RNA
Source: RNAcentral
GAUCCUGGCUCAGGACGAACGCUGGCGGCGCGCCUAACACAUGCAAGUCGAACGAGCGAGAGAGAGUUUGCUUUCUCGAGCUAGUGGCGAACGGGUGAGUAACGCGUGAGGAACCUGCCUCAAAGAGGGGGACAACAGUUGGAAACGACUGCUAAUACCGCAUAAACCCACGACCCGGCAUCGGGUAGAGGGAAAAGGAGCAAUCCGCUUUGAGAUGGCCUCGCGUCCGAUUAGCUAGUUGGUGAGG